This 35-nucleotide small nuclear RNA is filed under the name Cervus elaphus hippelaphus. The record is from RNAcentral. Lineage: Eukaryota; Metazoa; Chordata; Mammalia; Artiodactyla; Cervidae.
AUCACUUCUCGGCCUUUUGCCUAAGAUCAAGUGUA